AGCGAACAGACGAGGAGCUUGCUCCUCUGACGUUAGCGGCGGACGGGUGAGUAACACGUGGAUAACCUACCUAUAAGACUGGGAUAACUUCGGGAAACCGGAGCUAAUACCGGAUAACAUGUUGAACCGCAUGGUUCAACAGUGAAAGACGGUCUUGCUGUCACUUAUAGAUGGAUCCGCGCCGCAUUAGCUAGUUGGUAAGGUAACGGCUUACCAAGGCAACGAUGCGUAGCCGACCUGAGAGGGUGAUCGGCCACACUGGAACUGAGACACGGUCCAGACUCCUACGGGAGGCAGCAGUAGGGAAUCUUCCGCAAUGGGCGAAAGCCUGACGGAGCAACGCCGCGUGAGUGAUGAAGGUCUUCGGAUCGUAAAACUCUGUUAUUAGGGAAGAACAUAUGUGUAAGUAACUAUGCACGUCUUGACGGUACCUAAUCAGAAAGCCACGGCUAACUAC
This 457-nucleotide ribosomal RNA is filed under the name uncultured Staphylococcus sp. RNAcentral describes it as "bacterial SSU rRNA". It matches the Rfam family "Bacterial small subunit ribosomal RNA", at positions 65 to 504 of the family's 1533-position model. The record is from RNAcentral. Lineage: Bacteria; Bacillati; Bacillota; Bacilli; Caryophanales; Staphylococcaceae.